RNAcentral lists this unclassified non-coding RNA (348 nucleotides) under soil metagenome. Its description in RNAcentral is "partial contains 5.8S ribosomal RNA, internal transcribed spacer 2, and large subunit ribosomal RNA". The stretch from base 1 to 120 matches the Rfam family "5.8S ribosomal RNA", at positions 35 to 154 of the family's 154-position model. The record is from RNAcentral.
GAUGAAGAACGCAGCGAAAUGCGAUAAGUAGUGUGAAUUGCAGAAUUCAGUGAAUCAUCGAAUCUUUGAACGCACAUUGCGCCCACUGGUAUUCCGGGGGGCAUGCCUGUCCGAGCGUCAUUGCCGCCCUCAAGCACGGCUUGUGUGUUGGGCCCCCGCCCCCCGGCUUCGGGGGGCGGGCCCGAAAGGCAGCGGCGGCACCGCGUCCGGUCCUCGAGCGUAUGGGGCUUCGUCACCCGCUCUGUAGGCCCGGCCGGCGCCCGCCGGCGACCCCAAUCAAUCUUUCCAGGUUGACCUCGGAUCAGGUAGGGAUACCCGCUGAACUUAAGCAUAUCAAUAAGCGGAGGA